CUUCACAAUAUUGUGCAACCAGCUCUAUCUAGUUCCAGAACAUUUUCAUCCCAAAGAGAAACCCUAUCUGUUCCCACCUCUACCAGCCCCUAAACCACGAAUCUGCUUCCUGUAUCUAUGGAUCUGGUUGUUCUGGACAUUUCGCAUAAAUGAAAUCAUACAACAUGUGGCCUUUUGUGUCUGGUUUCUCUCAGCGUCAUUUUCGAGGUUCAUCCACAUUGUAGUGUGUCACUCCUUGUGGCUGAAUAAUAUUCCACUGUGUGGAUGGACCACAUUGUUUAUCCUUUAGCAGCUAGCUCAUGGAACUGUUUGAAGCGCUUAUUGAGUGUUUACUCUCUGCUAGGCACAGUUGUAAGCGCUUAAUCUGCACCUUCUCCAUGAGGUCAUACUGUGACCACCAUGCCCAGUUGCCCAUUUCCCAGUGAGGGAAAUGAAGGCAGAAAUUGGCAGACAGGCCUCCCGAGGAACCACAGACCAUACUCUGGAGGUGGGGAUAGAAACAGAUAAUAAGGAAGCCAAGAAUCAAGCAAGAUAAAUGCCAGGUGAAGACCCUCAGGAUCUUCCAGGCAGACCAGUAUGUGCAAAGGCUCCAAGGUGGGAGUGGGCUGAUGUGCUGGAGAACAAAUGACUGGGGGAGAGGAAGGUGGAGUGGACAGCCGCUACAGGUUCUGGGAUGUGUGGGGAAGGGUUUGGACUGUACUCUGAUGUGGAGAGGCAGAGAGAGACGCAGGAAGAGAGGAUGAGAGAUGGAACAGGAGGGAGAGGCUGUCUCAGAUCUCACACCUUUCAGCAGGUGCUGGGUGGGUUGAUGCAGGAACUGAUCCAGCUACCCCAGGGUCUUAACCAUCCUUCUCCCAGUCUCAGAAGCCACUGCCAGAGUGGACCCUGCAGAGUAGGGGCCUGGCAGGGUGCUGUGAACACCGGGACAGGCCAGUUGGGUACCAGAUGCUGCUACCUGCCUCUGCCUGAGUCAGCAUCGCCAUGGCAACGUGGAUUCUACCAGAUCCUCCUUCCGGCACAUCCCCCAUCAUUGCAGGCACUUUCACGUCAUUGCCGGGGGCAGGGGCAGUUAUUUUUACCCAGGCUGCUGACAGCACUCAAGGACCAAGAUGCCCAUUCCCCCAUGCCUCUUAGCCCUUUUGCCUCCUAAGCAACCAGCUCCCUGCAGACUUUCCAGGCUCUGCGUGGAAGGGGGCAGGGACUGUCUAAAACAGUGGGGUACUGCAGGUGAGGAAACAUCCUGUGCAAGAGCUGGCAGUGGACAGCUGGAGUGGGCAGCGCUAGGGGGUGACAGCAGUAAGCCAGAGUGUGGGGAGGCCCGGGUGGCACUCAGAGGGAAGGUGGCCCCUGAGCCUCCCGGACUGUGGGCACUGGUGGGGAAAAUGAGGCGGGGAGGGUAGUCAUGGGCUCCACCUGGGUUGGUGAGGACUCCAACUACCCAUCACCCCAUCUGCUUAUGACGGGUGCUCCUGUGAUCCUCCCGCACUUACCUUCCCCCAUCUCCCCUCUUCUUACCCCACCUCGGGCCUCCUGGAUCCUCCGACAUACUGUGCAUUCCGACCUCAGGUCUUGCAUGUGCUACUCCGGCUUUCAGGUGUGCCCUCACACCACCCCCUUUGGAGGUGGAUCCUCUGCACUCUCUCCACUCUCCCUCCCUGCAAUUUCUUCAUAACUCUUAGCACUACUUGACAUUACAUGUUAUCUGUUCUUCCAGCUGUUCCCACCCUAAGAAUGUGGGCCUCGGUUUACCCGGCUUGUGAAUGGCAGCAGCCAGUGUGCAGAGUGAAGGGGGAACCAGGCGAUGAAAGGCCAGUGUCUGGGUCCUCCCGCCUGACCCAGAACUGCAAGGACAGAGUGGGACCUUGGAAUGACCUACAGCUCGCUGGGCAGGUUGGCCCUCAGUUCAAGCCCACAGUGGGAACAGGAAGUCAGUGGGCAGUGGGCAAGCCAGGCCAGGGUGCCUGCCAUGGAGCCUCCAGGACAAGUUGGGGUGGCCUAUGAGCCCCCCUCCCCCCAUACACACACCAUCGCCACAUACUGAUCAUCCGUGCAUGUCACCACCAGCUUCAAUUGCGCGGCCCUGGGAGACAGUCACUCCAUUUUCACUGAAGACUGGUUCGUUCCAGUCCCAGCCCAGAACGAUGGAUCCCAGUGAAAAACAUGAUAAACAUGUCUUCCUGUC
Molecule: long non-coding RNA, 2182 nt
Organism: Myotis davidii
Lineage: Eukaryota; Metazoa; Chordata; Mammalia; Chiroptera; Vespertilionidae
Exons: 2
Source: RefSeq, a predicted model, not a curated record